CCUACGGGAGGCAGCAGUGGGGAAUAUUGCGCAAUGGGCGAAAGCCUGACGCAGCGACGCCGCGUGAGGGAUGAAGGUCUUCGGAUCGUAAACCUCUGUCAGCAGGGAAGAACGGUCACUGUGCUCAUCAGCAGUGAAUUGACGGUACCUGCAAAGGACGCACCGGCUAACUCCGUGCCCGCAGCCGCGGUAAUACGGAGGUUGCGAGCGUUAAUCGGAAUUACUGGGCGUAAAGCGCUCGUAGGCGGUAUGUGAAGUCAAGGGUGAAAUCCCCGCGCUCAACGUGGGAACUGCCUUUGAGACUGGCAAAGUGGAGUGUGUGAGAGGUAGGCGGAAUUCCUAGUGUAGCGGUGAAAUGCGUAGAUAUUAGGAGGAACACCAGGGGCGAAGGCGGCCUACUGGACGGUGACUGACGCUGAGGCUCGAAAGCGUGGGGAGCAAACAGGAUUAGAUACCCUGGUAGUC
Molecule: ribosomal RNA, 465 nt
Filed under: uncultured bacterium
Lineage: Bacteria
Description: partial 16S ribosomal RNA
Rfam family: Bacterial small subunit ribosomal RNA
Source: RNAcentral